GGAGAGGUGGCUGAGCUGGUCGAAAGCGGCACACUGCUAAUGUGUUGUACGGCUCUCAAGGUCGUACCGAGGGUUCGAAUCCCUCCCUCUCCGCCA
RNAcentral lists this transfer RNA (96 nucleotides) under Candidatus Magasanikbacteria bacterium CG10_big_fil_rev_8_21_14_0_10_36_32. RNAcentral's name for it is "tRNA-Ser". It matches the Rfam family "tRNA". From Rfam's summary of the family: Transfer RNA (tRNA) molecules are approximately 80 nucleotides in length. Their secondary structure includes four short double-helical elements and three loops (D, anti-codon, and T loops). Lineage: Bacteria; Candidatus Magasanikiibacteriota. The record is from RNAcentral.